RNAcentral lists this unclassified non-coding RNA (2106 nucleotides) under Leishmania donovani. RNAcentral's name for it is "gene:LdHU3.23.2170(CDS-product:mitochondrial_carr ier_protein-like_protein)". Lineage: Eukaryota; Euglenozoa; Kinetoplastea; Trypanosomatida; Trypanosomatidae. The record is from RNAcentral.
UCUUCUCCGCGACUGUCAUUCGUGCACGCAUUGGUGCCCACGGCGGGCAAACAACACGACGACCACCAACCGCCUUCGUUGUAAGCCGACCAUAUUAGCCAACCGCACGUACAUUCUUUACGUCUUUGCCUUUUGUUUUCUGUGUUUCACUCACACCCAUCCAUUACUAACCCGUGGCUAUCAAAGAGCGGCGCGUUCGUGCGCGUGUGUGCGUGCCACUCACCCCCUCUCCCCCUGUCCUCUUACGGCGGCUUAUAUAUAUAGGCGUGUCCUCUCUCUCUGCUGCUGCGGCGGCGGCGACUUCCACUAAGCAGUGAGAAGGCCGGAGUGCGCGCACGCGUCUGUGCCGCGCCUGUUUCGCCGGCAUCACUGUUGCUCAGCCAAAACGGUGUGCCGCGAAACGUUGUUUUCUCUGCUCCAUCUUUCUUGGUCUAUCAGCCUCUCAACUCAUAUAUAGCACAACACUCUCUCUUGCGUGGCGCUCUUGCGGCUCUCCUUCACCUCCUGUCGGCGGUGCGCUGCGCGACGGCAGCCUCGACCCGUGCUACCGCAGCCGCUCGGUCUCACCAAUAUUGUGGCUGUCACCAUCUUCCACCUCCCCCGCGAGUGCCCUUCGCUAAGCGCCCCCUCUCCUCCCACACAUACGCGCUAUACUUUCCUCUCUCCGUGUAUUGGCCACUGCAGGUCUUGGCUAGGUGCUGCAGCUAAAAGACGGAGGGUGGCAGGGGCCAGAGCUGCCAAGCAUGCUGGUGCACACAGCGCAGUCGUCUCCAGGUGGCUAUGUGGAGGGGUAUGGGAGCAGUACCGACACGGCUACGCCACCUGUGGCUGCUGCGCGGCAUGAUGCCAAGCUUAGGCCCGCCAAGACAGCUGGCGCAGACGGCGGUCGCCGCGACUAUAACGCUGACACGCUCUAUGCGAAUCCCGAAAUAACAGCCUUGGCCUCCUCCGUGGCGACGACGGUGGCCAAGUCGCUGCUGCACCCACUCGACACUCUCAAGUGUCGAGUGCAGCUACUGCGCACCGACGUGCCUGAGCCGCCGCCGUGCCAGAGUUAUCAGAGCUGCACCGGCAAGCAGUCACCCGGUCUGCUGCGCAGUCGUUUGCGACAGCUUCGGUACCAGUACGCUGGUCAGUGGACGCCGGGGCACAUCUACGGCGGGCUGCCGGUGAAACUCCUCUUCUACGUUCCCUACCAGGCCACGUACGUAUCGAGCUACAACUUUGCGCAGCGCACGCUGGAGGCGGCUGGCAGGGAAGGCGAGGAUGCGGCGUGCCGUCACUCCAAAAACUACGUGUGGCACACCGUGGCCUCGGCGGUCUUCGCUGAGGCGGUGAGCGCCGGGCUGCGGGUGCCGAUGGAAACCAUGAAGAUGCGUAUUCAGUCUGCUGCCGCCUCCGGCUCCCUGCACGCGCUGCGGCAGCUGUGGCGACAGGGUCUCGCUUCCUGCGUGCGCCUCGCCGUGCCACAGACCCUCAUGCACGACAUACCGUACUCUAUCAUCCAGUGGGUGGUGUACGAGACCCUGCGGCCGUGGACCCAGCAGUGGAAGGAGCGCGCGGUGCAGCAGGGACGUGGCGCGGAGCUGGCGGCAACGUCGGCGGCGCCGAAGAGCUUCUGGACUCUCUAUGGAGCGGAGCUGGCGCGUACCUUCCUUUCUGGCGGUUUCAGCGGCCUCUUGGCGUCUGUCCUGACAGCACCGCUGGACAACAUCCGCACGCGCGUUGUGGUGGCCACGGCACGCGAUUGCCAUCUGACUGUCGCGGAUGUGGUGCGAGACGCCUAUCAGCGCGAGGGCAUGCGUGGCUUCGUGCGUGGCGGCGGCAUGCGUGUGCUGUGGGUCACGGCGAACAUGGCGUGCUACUUCCCUCUCUUCGAAGGUGUGCGCUCGCUGUUGCAGCGGUGCGGAAAUGGAAGCAACGACCCCGGCACAUCUGCGUGAUGCGCAAGGAGCAUGCUCGCACACGAGCGGCAGAGGAGCACUGUAAGCUAUGCGCUCACGCAAGCUGCCCCCUCCACGCCCCUUGCUGCCGUCAACGCGCGUGCGCGGUGCAUCAGGCCUCUGUGUCUUUUCGGUCUCUCCCUCUCGGGAGUAGAGCCUCAAC